RNAcentral lists this ribosomal RNA (497 nucleotides) under uncultured bacterium. RNAcentral's name for it is "partial 16S ribosomal RNA". It matches the Rfam family "Bacterial small subunit ribosomal RNA", at positions 28 to 507 of the family's 1533-position model. The record is from RNAcentral.
GAUGAACGCUGGCGGCGUGCCUAAUACAUGCAAGUCGAGCGAACGGACGAGAAGCUUGCUUCUCUGAUGUUAGCGGCGGACGGGUGAGUAACACGUGGAUACCCUACCUAUAAGACUGGGAUAACUUCGGGAAACCGGAGCUAAUACCGGAUGAUAUUUUGAACCGCAUGGUUCAAAAGUGAAAGACGGUCUUGCGGUCACUUAUAGAUGGAUCCGCGCUGGAUGAGCUGGUUGGUAAGGUAACGGCUUACCAAGGCAACGAUGCGUGGCCGAACUGAGAGAGGGGUAGGCGGCACGGGAGCGGGACCGGGGACAAGAGGCCUACGGGAGGGAGCAGUAGGGAACCUUCGGCAACGGGGGAAAGCCUGACAGAACAAGGCGGAGUGAGAUGUGAAGGUGCUCGGUGCGUAAAACCCGGUUAUUGGGGAAGAACAGCUUUGGACUGAACCGUGCAGUUCGUGACGGUAACUAAUAAGAAAGCCACGGCUAACUACGUG